Molecule: ribosomal RNA, 441 nt
Filed under: Synalpheus scaphoceris
Lineage: Eukaryota; Metazoa; Arthropoda; Malacostraca; Decapoda; Alpheidae
Description: SSU rRNA
Rfam family: Eukaryotic small subunit ribosomal RNA
Source: RNAcentral
GCCCUAGUUCUAACCCUAAACGAUGCUGACCAGCUAUUCGCCGUCGUUAUUCCCAUGACGUGGCGAGACGCCCCCGGGAAACCUCGAGUCUUUGAGUUCCGGGGGUAGUAUGGUUGCAAAACUGAAACUUAAAGGAAUUGACGGAAGGGCACCACCAGGAGUGGAGCCUGCGGCUUAAUUUGACUCAACACGGGAAACCUCACCAGGCCCGGACACCAGAAGGAUUGACAGAUUAAGAGCUCUUUCUCAAUUUGGUGGGUGGUGGUGCAUGGCCGUUCUUAGUUGGUGGAGUGAUUUGUCUGGUUAAUUCCGGUAACGAACGAGACUCUGGCCUACUAACUAGUGGGCGGGUGUUCCGGUAAGGGGCCCCGCCCGACAAUGUCUUCUUAGAGGGAUGAGCAGCGAGUAUAGCUGCAGGAGAUUGAGCAAUAACAGGUCUGU